Molecule: long non-coding RNA, 201 nt
Filed under: Phaseolus vulgaris (common bean)
Lineage: Eukaryota; Viridiplantae; Streptophyta; Magnoliopsida; Fabales; Fabaceae
Description: long non-coding RNA (PVUL_LNC001077)
Source: RNAcentral
AACAACAUAUAAUUUGACCUAAUUAUGUGUUUAUAAAUGAAACAUAAUAACUAGACUGGUCCUGGUCCACCGAUGUGGGGCCCCCAAAUUUGGUUUCAGGGCUAUUUUGGUAAAAGAACUCUAGUGUGAUGCACGAUCCAAUCCCACCAACGUCUCAUUUUAUUUUAUUUCUUGGAGUGUGGUUGUUAAAUUGAAAUGGAA